This 354-nucleotide long non-coding RNA is filed under the name Pan troglodytes (chimpanzee). RNAcentral's name for it is "long non-coding RNA NONPTRT000372". The record is from RNAcentral. Lineage: Eukaryota; Metazoa; Chordata; Mammalia; Primates; Hominidae.
AAAAGAAAAGUCUGAGAAACUCACAGCUAAGAGGAGCCUAAGGAGACAUCAUGGCUAAAUGUAGUGUGAGUGUGAUCUAUUGGAUGGAAUCCUGGUACAGAAAAAGAACAUUAGAGAGACAGCCUUGAGUGGAGAGUGAGGAGAUGGGAGUAACAUGUCAACUAUACCAACAUUGAAGUGUAUAAUCAUACCAGGCCAACUAUGUGUGUGUGUGCCAGUGAGCUAUGAAGACCAACUUUAAAAAGAGUGGCAAACAACACUAUCUUACACAAACUCUUUCAGAAUACAGAAGAUACUCCCAGAUAAUUUUAUGUAAUCUUGAUAACAAAAUCUAGCAAUAUCAUUACAAGAAAG